GAUUGCAGGAAUUGAAACAGAACAAUGGAGGGAUAGAAAGAGAGAGCAAGCGAGAACAGCUGACGGGGGCAGUUAGGUACCGAAAGUCUUGCAGGAGCAGGCACCUGUAAUCGAAAUCGUGUAGUUGCUUGCAACAGGAGUGAUAAUUCAGGAGCAGCAGACGAUGUGGUUACCUUUACGCAAUUUAACUCUUGCAAUUAAACCUACACGAAUGCACAGUUGCAGUGAACCUCUUCGCAAGUGUUCAAGGAGCUAAGUACUUCAUGGCAAUUUCAGUCUAUGCUUGGCACUACGUUUCAUGGCUAAGCACCUCUGCGCUCAUCGAUGCGGAUCACUGUCGGGUUCCGUAUUCGGAACAAGAUUACAAAAUAGCGUUCAAUGAGACGACUUGAAGCGCCGUCUGGAUGGGAAAGCACUGCAGAUGCUCAUCAGCCACAACGAUUUGUGAAACUUAUAACAUAAACGUUGAUGAACAAUGUCUGCACUGAUGUCUGCAGCCGAGGAGGCUGCUACUCUAGCAGAUCCAGCCUGCGAAGAUGCUCAUGCAGAAGCAGUGGAGUGAGGGAUGUCGAGGGAUUGACAAUUCUUUGAGGUUUUUGUGUUCAUACUCUUGUGAAUAACGAGUUUGGUAUUCAACAUUGAACGUAAUGCUGUACAUGUAAACAAUAAGUUUUUUAAUCAAGUUAAUUUUACAGAAAAGCUUCAACUCGUUUUGUAAUAUAAAAAUGCAACAAUAAAGAUAUUUAAAAUAUGUUCGUGUUUUA
This is a non-coding RNA of Physcomitrium patens, 764 nucleotides long. Lineage: Eukaryota; Viridiplantae; Streptophyta; Bryopsida; Funariales; Funariaceae. The record is from RefSeq and is a predicted model, not a curated record.